This 27-nucleotide non-coding RNA is filed under the name Cricetulus griseus (Chinese hamster). Lineage: Eukaryota; Metazoa; Chordata; Mammalia; Rodentia; Cricetidae. The record is from RNAcentral.
AUUUGGUGCCCUCUUCUGGCCUGCAGG